Anolis carolinensis (green anole) is the source of this 2090-nucleotide long non-coding RNA. RefSeq lists it as uncharacterized. NCBI's taxonomy places the organism in Eukaryota, Metazoa, Chordata, Lepidosauria, Squamata, Anolidae. The transcript is spliced from 5 exons. The record is from RefSeq and is a predicted model, not a curated record.
GAUAUAGAUAUAGAUGGAUAUAGAUGGAUAUAGAUAUAGAUAGAUAUAGAUAGAUAUGUCAAUAGGUGCAGUUCUUUUGGCAGCGUGCAAAUAAAAUAUAUAUAAUACAAAAUAAAUCCAUAACAAAAAAGAAAAUAAAACCAACAGAAAGAAAAAUAAAAUAAAACCAAACAGUACCACAUAAAGAAAACAAACAAGGAAAAGAUCUAAAAUCCUGUAUAAAGCAGUAGUGCCAAAUUUAGCACCAAAAAAACCUUAAUGUGUAGAUCCUAGCACCAGUCUUGAAUGGUCCCCUCCCACCCUCUUUUUAAAGAAAAGUCAGCACUCUGAUCAAAAUCAGAUUUUUAAAAUACUUACAAUUAUUGGGAGGAAAACUAUUUCAAAAACAAAAGGGGUGCUUUUACAAUUACAUUUCUCUGUAAAGAUACAGGAUCUCUUUUACUGGACACACCUUUCAUCUUGCACUAAAAUUCUACCUUAUAAUAGGUAAAGGUAUUAUUUCCUGUUAUGUUUCCCAGCUGUAAUCAAAUGACAGGUGAGCUCAACCCAACCAGUUAUUGUUCAACAUGACUAAUCUCUGAACCCUUUUAUGGUUUCACCUGUUGCCAUAGGGAUCUCUUUAAGCUUUGUCCAGCCCUCCAGCAAACAGUUCCUCCAGUUAUUAAAUACACAGAAACCUGCUAAGGCAAAGUAUCGGUUACUUGGAGUAGCUACCAGUAAGUUCAACCACCUCUGCCUUCUUCGAUCCUUGGCCACAGCUGCUGUAUCUGUGUAACUGGACAUAAACUGAUACAGCUAACAUGUACACACAAGAGAAACAUCUCAUUGCACCAAUGUGACUUUGUAAUGGAGGUCCCAUGUGUCUUUCCAAACUGAAAUCAGGUUAUUUGCUACUAAAGGCUAUAUAUAUAUAUAUAUCUGCAAACCACCAUGACUACUCAUGAAGCAAGACAUGCUGCUACCUCUGAAUGGACCAAAAUGCCCACAAUAGCCACUAAAGAAGCAGACAACAACACUGCCUUGAAUAACACAAGUACCAACUGGAAUAUAUAUACCGCAACUGCAAACACUACCAAUGUUUCCUCAAUGUUAUCUUAUUUAUCACAAAGCACUCGCUCUCCUAGUACAGAAAGUAACAGUUCAUCAGAUAUCAUUGCCGAAACCAAAAAGGUGACAACAUUUCCUGCUGAAUCAUUCUUUAGUAAUUCUGUGUAUCAAUCCACUGUAGAAGAUCCCAAAACAACAACUUCAGCUAUAACAUCGAAUUUGAUAGUCCAAGUUUCAACAAGUAUGCCAUUAAUCAGUAGCAAGUUUCUGGCUUCAGUUUCAUCAAAUCAGUUUCAAGCAGGAGGUGGUCGUUUGAAGAAUUCAGAAGCCAUCUUAACUAUCAGUUUUGCCAUUCUUCUUGCACUAACAAUCCUAGGAUCCACUGUGUAUAUUUUCAAUAAAUUUAGAAAGAGAAGAGAUCAAUAUUCCCACCAUCCACUUUAUGAUACUUCUUCUGAAACAGAAAGAUAUACAACUCAAGAAGAUGUACUGGUUAUAUCAGGAGGGUUGUAUGAUGCACCAAGAAUAUAUAAUCCCAACAUGAUGUAUGAAGAUGAUGAACUUUCAAAUGAUCAUUUACCAUUUAGUGCUCAACCAGGACAACUCAAAUUGGAAUUUCUGUCAGGAGAAAAAGAACAGAACAUUUUCCCAGCUUAUGAAACAUUUCAGAAAACACCAGGAGAUUUAUAAUGGAUGGGACACAGAUCCUUCAAAGUAGCAAAAUUAAUCCACUGUGAAAUUCAGUUUGAAUAAAAGCAGAAAUUAGAACUCACAAAGACGUUUAUUAAAACAAAGAACCAUUUACAAGUUAUACAGGAAUAGUUAACAAUUCUUUGCAACUUGACUGCUUCAUGCACAAUAUUUUACUGGAUCCAGAUUUAUUCAUACACAGAGUAGACCCACAAACACACAGGGCCAAUUUAAUGAUUUUUAUCAGCUAAGUUAGAUCUCCUUGCUAUUGUGAAUAUUUUACUUUGCUGUAAUAAUUAUUGGUAUGUUAUUGUAAUAAUAAAGUCUGAAUAAAAAUGAUUCAAUGACUCUAA